CGAGUACUGCCCGGUACGUGGCUUCGCAAAAUCCCUGAGGCUAUUCUUCAUCCUAGGGAGCUGUCCCUGCCCGGACCCUGGUCCGGAUCAUAUGGUUCCCACCUGACGUUUGUGGCGUCAGAGGAUUUCCGGCAAACGGCCAUGGUGGUCUCGU
Molecule: non-coding RNA, 154 nt
Filed under: Sphingomonas piscis
Lineage: Bacteria; Pseudomonadati; Pseudomonadota; Alphaproteobacteria; Sphingomonadales; Sphingomonadaceae
Description: 6S / SsrS RNA
Rfam family: 6S / SsrS RNA
About the family: E. coli 6S RNA was the first non coding RNA to be sequenced, but its function was unknown until recently. It consists of 184 nucleotides that fold into an extended hairpin structure with a large single-stranded internal bulge.
Source: Rfam by way of RNAcentral